UCCUGCUGCCCCAGGGGAGUCCGCGUCCUCCUGAGUUACAGACAAGUGGCCUCCGAGGCCCAGAUGGUGCAGGAGUGGCUGCGGCUGGCCUGUCGGGAGCCCGGGAGCACAGUGUCUCCUGUGAAUUCUCUGGCCGCGCCCAGCACCGUCCCCUGCUCCACGUCCCUCUGUCCCUCUCAGGAAAGGUUUUGCGUCUCCUCGCUUGGAACUGAACCAUUUGUGUUCAAGGUCAAAGGCUGUUUGUCAUCUGACUGCACCGUCUCUCAUCAGCACGGACGGCUCUCCUGGAACAGAGGAGCGAGGCCCCAGGUCUCACUGCCUGGCCUCCACGGGGCCCCGUGGGCAACCGUGAGUCACUGCUUCGUGUUCUUCUGAAGAGGGGUCUGCAGGGGUGUUGGGUCUGGUCCCCCAAAUCUGGGUCUGCCUCGGAUGGAAGUCGAGACUGGAAUAAAACCUUGACUUUUCUGACACUGACUCCAUUUUCGUGAUAACCUCUAACCUAUUUCACGCCUCGAAAGGCUUGUCUUUGCCCUGAUCCUCAGUAACUGAUAGAAUUCAGGAACCGAAACUUCCGCCUUUUGGGCACAUUGCUCUCGGUUAAGCUCAGUGGACCUGAGUGGGCAGAGGGAGAAGUGUCCUCCUCUUACAGUUCAUCGUCCAGGCCCGAGAAACGCUGCUCCCUGCUUAGCUGCUGCCUCCGGACCUGGCCCGUCUCAGGCUCAUCUAACGAAUUCUGAGCCGCGUCCACGCCCAGAAGACCUGCGUUCUGGGCCCCACACUGCCGGCCGCUGGCCACUCAGCUUCCUCAUCUGUAACUGAACAGCCGCACGGCCCCUCCCACCACAGCGCCGACCACAGACGUAAGGUGUGUGAACGGGCCGCGUGGUUCACCUGCGCCUCCUCAGGUGCUGUAUGCCGCUUCAGUUGUUUUCUCCGACCUUUCUCAUCUGAAAGAGCUCAUCAAUCAAGAAAGAUUCUUCAUGUCAAGGUCGGCCCUGCGCCGGCUAAGGGGAGGGAAGGGCAAACUUCGAAAGACUCGAGGAAACCAUGUCCCCAGAACAAUGACUAUUUUUGGUGCCAGUGGGUUCAGCGAAUUUGGCCAAAAGUGGAAUGGAGGGAGCCGGCCUUCACUUCUGGAACCUUCUCCCCAGCACAUCUGUGGACACUCACAAGUCUGGUAUCUGAGCUGAAGUUCAAUCGAGGCCACAUCAGGAUGAGUUUGUCACGCGUGGGGCACCGAGCAUCACAGAUGAGGAGGAUUCUGGAAUCGCCCGGGACCGAUCACCAGCACGGUCCAGUCUCUGGGAAGUUCUGUUGGACUGAAUCAAGGGAAAAGUGAGAACAUGAGAUUUCCAAUGUUCUACAGUGAUUGAUCUACAAAACCAUCAGUGUGACAUGACAGCAUCACCAGGGGCUGACGGAGAUCUGCGUACCCAGGACCCGCCCAGCUCACGCAGGCCUGACAGAGAAGUCCAGCAUGUGAGGGCCCCGAGUUCACUCUUGUCUCGUGAAGAAGCACUGAAGAAUCUGUGCCCCUGCCGAGUCCGGAUGAGAUGCCCAGUAACCUGACUGGACCUCCCUUGACCAGGCUUCUCCCUCCCAGACCCUGAACCCACCCUCCCUGAGCCCUGGAGUGAACACAGCCCCACUGUGUUGCUGGACGGCUGACCCCACGUAAAACGUCCUCUGACCUCCCGCCCGUCAGGCUCCUCUGCUGCCCACACGGUUCUGUCCAGCCCCGCUCGCUCCCCAGAGAACAGCCCCUGCUGCCCAGGCUGGAGACACUCCCGGGUCUCGGGGUUGGACCUUCCCAGCGCUGCGCUCAGUGCUGGCUGUCGGGCUCUCCUUGCGUGGUGUGGGUUGAACUGCAUUCCACUAAAAUCCGUGUGUUGGAGUCCUCAGAAUAUGACCUUAUUUGGAAACGAGGUCGUUGGGGAGGGACGUAAUUAGCUAAGACAGGCCGUGCUGGAACGGGACGGGCCCCAGUGCAGUAGUACUUUUGAGUAAAGUCCCCCCUUACUUCAGUCCAGUUUGUUUUCUUAUUUGGCACCACAAUACCUAUCUGUGCCCUGUUUAUCUUCUGGGAGCGUGUAAGAAGCAACAAGAUAAUGUGUGCAACACACUUUACAAGUGAUACAGCACACACUUGAGCUUUUUCCAUCUUACAGUGACUAACUGGCUUCAAAACUUCCUAUUCUCCCUCAGAGCUGUACAGAGUCAUGCAGGAUGGGGGCAGCAGGUGGCACCAGAGGUUUCCCUUUGACAGACUGUCCUCGAGGAACCAGGGGUUCUCAAUUGCACGACAAAGAUGUUCCCCGUCUACGCCGGCGCUGGUCUGAGUGAGGGUUCCAGGCCAGUGUUCUGACCAGGAUGGGAACACAGAGGAUGAGGUUGUGGAAACACGUGGAUGCUGUCACUGCGUCGACUGAAAAGAUUUGGAGGGUCCCUUCUGAAGUUAACAAAGCCACGUUUCAAAUGGCUCUUGCUGGGACCCCAAGUUCUAGUGCAUGGUGACAAGCUGGGAAAGUCACAUGUCGAGGACGACAUCUGUGACGACACAGGAGGAGGAGGACCCUGGGAGUCACAGCGGGGUCAGACGGGUCUCAGCACACGGCUCCACGCAGAUCGGCCGCCACAUGUGGGCUGCGCUCUCUGCAGAUGGAACAGAGAGGCUGGACUGCAGCAGUUCAUGCUUGCCCCAGGUUUUCUUCAAGUCACCAACUUCCGUCAGUUCUGGAGCAGCCUCUCCCCACCCCAUCUCCCCGGCGUUGCUCAGUCCUGCUCCUUCCCUGUCACUCUCACUGUCACUGUCUCCAAGUCCAGUGACGGCCACAUAGUUCCUCUGUCGGUUUAUUCUUUCAGUCAUCAAUGUUCUUUUUUCUCCACAGGAUCAAAUCCGUAGGGCCCCCGAAAUUUGGCAAUGCCCCACCCUCCUCCUAGUCUUCAGUACCAAUAUCCCAAACAACACGUGCAUGGUCUUUCUCAUCGUAAAUCUUGGUCAUGGAGCUUCCCCGAAAUGAGAUCCCCUCCUCUCUCAUAUGUACUAAAGUGAACUGGCCUCGAGGCUCAGCUGCUUUCCACCUGCUAACGGAGAAAUCUCUGAUCGUGGCAGCACCAGCGUCUCGUGCACGGGAAGCAAGGCCGCUUCGAACACACCUCAUUCAGCGCCCAGGCUGCCUGCUCCUGCCCUGGCCCGUGGCUCUCCCUGAGAACAGGACUUCCCACUGGGAGGCAGGAGUUUCUGGACUGUGGGUCCCACGUUCCUGCGUAGAGAUGAAAUGCUGAGUGAUCAGAACCGCGUGUCCCCUGUGCUCAGCUUCUAAAUCAAGAGCCAGAGGAAGAUGGGGGAUGCGACACCUGAAAGUCCCCGAGGUCAUUUGGGGCCAGCGUCUCACAUCGGGUUCCAGAAUCAACAAGUCGGUGUGCUAGGGUUUACUCUCCAUCUGUUUUCUUAGAAAAAACAGUCAGACGCUUCGUUCCAACAGGACUCCCUCCCGCUGACUCUGUGACGUUAACUGUAGAAACAGCCACGACGUUGAAAGGUUUGAAGACUCAGACCCACACGGCUAAAGAAAAGGAAAGGACAGUUUUCUUUGGUUUUAUUGCUAAAUACGCUUAUACGUAUGACACAAUCACACGAUUCUACACAACACACUUACACAACAGAUAAUUAACACACCAUGAGAAGGCCAAACAAACCGUAGAUAUGAGGUAUCGUUUCUAAGUUCCCCAAUUUUAUGAAGCAAAACAUAUUGACCUACAGCCAAAAUUAUCAUUUGAACAGUCAGCUAAACACACCGUUUAAGAAAAGGAUUAUAAAGCUCUUUGUACUCAUAAAUAAUCAAAUCCAAUCUCACAGUAUAAAAGAGUUUUAGUAGUUGUGAAAUAAUAUAAAAAUGUGAAGUUGUGGCUUUUUAAAGUUCGAUUCACCUACAAUAGCACGUAUACUGUGUCGGUGACGGAUAUUUGAGAUUUAAAGUAUUGGUAACACAGACAUAAUCAGACUUAAACAUUUUAAUGUUUUGUGGUACUUUUCACCCAGAUAGUAACUCACUACUUUGUGAUUAUUAGUAUAAAUAACGAGGUGUAUCCUGUGUAUUUCGUUCUUGUAAUAAACGUUCGCUGAAUGCUGUUGCCCACCUCGUAUAUUCACCGGAACCUUCCUUUCAGGAAAGGACGGUGGGAAACCAAGAGGGCCGUGAGCUGAUUACAGGCCCAGAUGUGUGCCACGGCCUGGAGCUGCAGGCUGUCACUGUUCCUUAAUUAGGCUGACAGAAACCUCACACCCGUGUUGGCCGGAAAACAGACUCAUUCACAUAACACUACACUGAGACAAAGGCAAAUACUUCAAUACAUAAUUCAGUAGGUUCUAAAAUUGUUAGUGGAAACAAGCUGAAAACCCUCAAAACUCGCAACACGUAAGGAAACGUGCUCUUGAGGUAAGGU
RNAcentral lists this long non-coding RNA (4446 nucleotides) under Equus caballus (horse). RNAcentral describes it as "lncRNA (ENSECAG00000040835.2)". Lineage: Eukaryota; Metazoa; Chordata; Mammalia; Perissodactyla; Equidae. The record is from RNAcentral.